RNAcentral lists this ribosomal RNA (393 nucleotides) under uncultured bacterium. RNAcentral's name for it is "partial 16S ribosomal RNA". It matches the Rfam family "Bacterial small subunit ribosomal RNA", at positions 523 to 918 of the family's 1533-position model. The record is from RNAcentral.
AUACGGAGGAUCCGAGCGUUAUCCGGAUUUAUUGGGUUUAAAGGGUGCGCAGGCGGGAGAUUAAGUCGGCGGUGAAAUUUUGCAGCUCAACUGUAAAAGUGCCUUCGAAACUGGGUUUCUUGAGUGUAGAUGAAGUAGGCGGAAUUUGUGGUGUAGCGGUGAAAUGCAUAGAUAUCACGAGGAACUCCGAUUGCGCAGGCAGCUUACUAAACUACUACUGACGCUCAGGCACGAAGGCGUGGGGAUCAAACAGGAUUAGAUACCCUGGUAGUCCACGCAGUAAACGAUGAUUACUAGCUGUUUGCGAUACAAUGUAAGCGGCUGAGCGAAAGCGUUAAGUAAUCCACCUGGGGAGUACGUUAGCAAGAAUGAAACUCAAAUGAAUUGACGGGG